Molecule: non-coding RNA, 105 nt
Organism: Didymella keratinophila
Lineage: Eukaryota; Fungi; Ascomycota; Dothideomycetes; Pleosporales; Didymellaceae
Source: the annotation of a GenBank genome assembly
GGCCUAAUGGCCCAAUGGCAAGGCGCUUGACUACGAUUGUCGGAUUUCCAGUCCGAACAACAAUUGCGCAUCAAGAGAUUCCAGGUUCGACCCCUGGUUAGGUCA